This is a non-coding RNA of Podarcis lilfordi (Lilford's wall lizard), 1185 nucleotides long. The record is from the annotation of a GenBank genome assembly. NCBI's taxonomy places the organism in Eukaryota, Metazoa, Chordata, Lepidosauria, Squamata, Lacertidae.
UUUCUGAGUUAGCGGAGUGUAUAACCUGAAGCGUAUGUAACCCGAGGUACCACUGUAUACUCUUUUCGGUGACAUUCCUGUUCAGACAAGCCUACUCAUAUGCUUAGGAAGUUGAGGUAAUUUUAGUCUGUUUAGUAGUUUAACAUGUAAGUUUAAAAGUAGAAUUGUAAUUUUUUCUUGCUUUUACUGGUUUAUCUUUUGUAAACCACUCUGUUAUUAUUAUUUUUUACAAUCAAACAGUGUACAAAUUUUAUGAAACAGCUAUAUACAUGUAUGUAUAUGAUCUCUGCAGUGGUUUCCAGGCUCGCCCCGCCCCCAGCCACUUGAAAAUUGCUGAGAGUCUUGGCAGGUCACAAUUUUGCUACUGCUUGUAGCAAUUGUAAUGCACUGGGCUAGAUGCUGUGUGAUUUUUAAUUGUAUUUCUAUUGCUACUUUUAUUUUUUAUAGUGGGUGUCAUUGUAUUGCAAUCUAAAUUCCAUAGAAUUCAAACUGUAAUACAAUAAAAUGCAAUAUAAAGAUAAAAGAAUCAAUAGAAAUGCAGUUAAAUAAUCAAUAUGAAUAUUUAUUACAGACACACCGUGGAUCACCUGAAAGACACUGUGGAUGUACUGCAGAAGGCUAGUAUGUGAGAAGGGCAGAAAUAAUAGUACGAAUAUGUAAAAUGUUAUCUUCGUGAAAGAGGAAAGCACUGAGGAUUCUGACACUCACAUCAUUAUAGGACUUUAUAGCAAAGCAUCUCCCUUCUCCAUAGCUGGCACAAAUGAAUUUUAGGAUGGAAGCCUUGAUUAUGAAACCUCACCAUCUGCUUUGCUUAUGGCUUCAUGCUGAUUGAUUUUCAUAUGGAAAGAACAUCAAAGGGAUUGUGACAGGACAUUCCGUUUCAAGGCAGUCCCAGAAUCCUCUGCUGCUGCUUCUUUUCCUGCAGAAGUCACUAGCAAGAAUGCCAAUUAGUGCCAACUGCAAAGAUGAUAAUAAUGUGUAACAUAGAGCUCAAUGUACCCUCCUUAAACGUGGCAGUCCUAAAACCAGGAAUAUCAUUUCAAAUUGUAGCUGGUAGGUGCCACAGCACCUACUUUAGGGAUGGGUGAACAACCUUACUUCCUUCAGAUUCACAUUUUUCUGAUCUUAAGUUUGGUUUUCCACAUUUUCACAUCAGCCUUGGUUUGUAUCUUUUUGGGGGCGGGG